GGAGAGGUGAUAAUCGUAGUGGUAAAAUUAUGCAUAAGCUAACUGAUGAUAGCUAAGGGCUCUCUACCAGAAUAGAGCAGUGUAGUACUGAUAGAUUUCAUUUUCUUGAUGUUAAUUGUUAAUGUGUCUAUAGAAAAGGGCAAAUAUGUUACAAAUAUAUAAAAAACCAACAUAUAUCCCAGUUAUCAUCCAGGCCUGGUCGCAUGACCCACCUGCAUAUAAAUCCGCAUCAUUUAGGGCCCUUUUCUUUAGGGUUUUUACCCAUAUACCCAUAUUACUAAAUAGGUCAAUAAAGAGUAUGAGCGGCAGCAGAUUUUUAACCUAGGAUUCAAGUAUGAUUAAUCAUUUAGGUCCAUGAACCGGACUUGAGUAAGGUUCAAGACAAUAUGCACAGGAGACAAGUGAGAGACUCUUCAACUACUAUGCCAGAUAGGCCCCUUUAUUGUGCGAUCCCAUAUGGUAACAUUAUAGAACAUACCCUUUGUAAGGCCUUAAAACAUAUACCAUAUAAAAUUCUCAACAAAAGAGGUCCUAUAGUUUUUCAAAUGCUACAUAAUGACAAGGACCUCGUACCUAAUGAUAGAAAAGCAGGUAUUUAUAAUAUUCCUAUGUAUAAUAGAAAUGAUAAUUGUAUGCAG
RNAcentral lists this long non-coding RNA (638 nucleotides) under Androctonus crassicauda. The record is from RNAcentral. Lineage: Eukaryota; Metazoa; Arthropoda; Arachnida; Scorpiones; Buthidae.